Molecule: long non-coding RNA, 910 nt
Filed under: Hordeum vulgare
Lineage: Eukaryota; Viridiplantae; Streptophyta; Magnoliopsida; Poales; Poaceae
Description: long non-coding RNA (HVUL_LNC020724)
Source: RNAcentral
UCGCAUGCGCACGUCUUCUUCUCCACCUCUCCCCCACAUGCCACCAGCCAUAGCCGCCGCCUCCUCUCCCCUGCUUGUUUCCCCCCUUUCGGCCAAGAUCCACAGGCCACCCCUCUACCUCUUCUUCGUCUUGAGCAAGAAGAUGACUCCGUUCUAGGCGAUGGCUCCGGUGCCACCUCCCUUGAAUGAGGGAUCUCGCCGGCAUGAUCUCCUGACAUGGCGAGGAGGAGAGGGAGGAGGAUGUCGUUCACCGCGUGGCGCGGCAACCCAGUGCUGGUCAACGGGGAUGGUGCCGCCUCACGAGGACGGCGGCUGCGCUGGCAGACAAGAUCAAGCUGUUGCUCGUCAACAUCAAUGACAUCAGGUAAGUCAGAGAUCAAACUCCCACCAGUAUCGAUUAUUUACCUUCGCUUCACCAUCGUUUUCAUGGCGUUAUUCCAAACAUUUUGUUGAUGUUUGCAGAUCCAAAGCAAAUAUGGGAGCUCCAGCAAGGCCUUGAUGAGUAAACAACAUGCCUACUACUCCGUCUACUUGAUCAGCCUCUCUAUUGUGUUGAUUGGCCACUUUAGAAUUUCAUUUGGGCAACCUGGCCAACUGGAUCCUGACUGAUUUCAGCAAUCAGCGGUAGCAGGUCCACAGUGCCUGAUAACAGAAGUAGGCGUUGCGGUCAUUCAAUUUUGUCUACAUACAUAAUUACAUAUAUAGCUGUUGCAUCACUUGAUUUUAGAUCGAUAUUCAUGGAUUUGUUGGUGUGCUUGCUUCUGUUUUGUGCUUUGAAAAACAUGCAUGUGUUUUGCAGGUUCAGAACCAGUCCAUAUGCCACACAACAUUUAGGAGGGUGUCCGAUUUCAUUGAACCAGUCCAUAUCCGACACAACGUUUAUCAUUCAAUCUAUUAUUUAUUUAUUUUA